GGAACCUGCUGCAUUGCACUCACCGGUGAAGUUUGAAGAAUGGGUUGUGUUUUGAGAAGAUGUUGAGCUCAAAAAGGGUAAUAUUUACUCUAAGUUGCCCUCAUAUGUCCAUAAACUUGCUGUACAGUAGCCUUGUAUGCUUUAAUAAGUAUUUGUGGCUAUGUUCCCUAUUGCCUGUGAUCCUAUGAAUUCAUGUGAGGCAAUUGUUACAUUGAGUACCUUCAAUUCAAUACUUUGAAGUUGUGUUGAUGUU
This 253-nucleotide unclassified non-coding RNA is filed under the name Hevea brasiliensis (rubber tree). The record is from RNAcentral. Lineage: Eukaryota; Viridiplantae; Streptophyta; Magnoliopsida; Malpighiales; Euphorbiaceae.